Ipomoea nil (Japanese morning glory) is the source of this 440-nucleotide long non-coding RNA. RefSeq lists it as uncharacterized. NCBI's taxonomy places the organism in Eukaryota, Viridiplantae, Streptophyta, Magnoliopsida, Solanales, Convolvulaceae. The transcript is spliced from 3 exons. The record is from RefSeq and is a predicted model, not a curated record.
CCGUCACUCCAUCAGCUCUGAUCUUCAUCCAUUUGCACCGCCAUCCGACGCCGUCCAUCAGUCACCAUCGUCCCCGCCGUCCAAUGCCGUCCACGCUCUCCAUCGUCCCCGCCGUCCACGCUCUCCAUCUUCCCGUCCAUCGCCAUCCCGUCGUCCAUCGCCGAUCGACGUCCCCGCCGCUGCCGCCCAAGGUCGCCGUCGCGACGUCUCAGCUCGCCACCGCAGUACGGAAGCCGACGCCGCCGCUGUACGCUCGCCAAAAAGGGAGAAUGAGAAUUUAAUGACAUACAGAGAACCUGAGUCUGAGAGAUUAAUAUGACUAAUAAACUGAAGAAUGCUAAUGAAUCAAACCCAACAUUUCAUGAUGCACUUAACUCUCCUGCAGUGGAGGCCUCAAGAUUGAGGGUGUUAAUAAAUCAGAGUUUGAAUUGGCAGCACCA